Molecule: ribosomal RNA, 508 nt
Filed under: uncultured bacterium
Lineage: Bacteria
Description: partial 16S ribosomal RNA
Rfam family: Bacterial small subunit ribosomal RNA
Source: RNAcentral
GAUGAACGCUAGCUACAGGCUUAACACAUGCAAGUCGAGGGGAAACGAUAUUGGAAGCUUGCUUCCGAUAGGCGUCGACCGGCGCACGGGUGAGUAACGCGUAUCCAACCUGCCCAUCACUUGGGGAUAACCUUGCGAAAGUAAGACUAAUACCCAAUGACGUCUCUAGAAGACAUCUGAAAGAGAUUAAAGAUUUAGCGGUGAGGGGUGGGGAUGCGUCUGAUUAGCUUGUUGGCGGGGUAAAGGCCCACCAAGGCGACGAUCAGUAGGGGUUCUGAGAGGAAGGUCCCCCACAUUGGAACUGAGACACGGUCCAAACUCCUACGGGAGGCAGCAGUGAGGAAUAUUGGUCAAUGGGCGAGAGCCUGAACCAGCCAAGUAGCGUGCAGGAAGACGGCCCUAUGGGUUGUAAACUGCUUUUAUAAGGGAAUAAAGUGGGAGCCGUGACUCCUUUUGCAUGUACCUUAUGAAUAAGGACCGGCUAAUUCCGUGCCAGCCGCCGCCGUAA